CUCAGUAAGUCGUAACAAGGUAACCACUAGAGUUUGAUCAUGGCUCAUUAAGUCAUAACAAGGUAACCACGACACUUUGAGGGUAAUAGGCCAGGGCAACUUGGAUUAACGCCCCAUGGUACCGCGAUAUCGCAUGAUAUUGCGGUUAAAGAUUUAUCGGACAGGGAUGGCCAUGCGUACCAUUAGUUAGUUGGUGGGGUAACGGCCCACCAAGGCAGCGAUGGUUAGGGGCCCUGAGAGGGGGAUCCCCCACACUGGUACUGAGACACGGACCAGACUCCUACGGGAGGCAGCAGUGAGGAAUAUUGGACAAUGGGCGGGAGCCUGAUCCAGCCAUGCCGCGUGCAGGAUGACGGCCCUAUGGGUUGUAAACUGCUUUUAUACGGGAAGAAAUGCGCCCACGUGUGGGCGUCUGACGGUACCGUAAGAAUAAGGACCGGCUAACUCCGUGCCAGCAGCCGCGGUAAUACGGAGGGUCCGAGCGUUAUCCGGAAUCAUUGGGUUUAAAGGGUCCGUAGGCGGGCCUGUAAGUCAGGGGUGAAAGUUUGUGGCUCAACCAUAAAAUUGCCUUUGAUACUGCAGGUCUUGAGUCAUGGUGAGGUCGCCGGAACAUGUGGUGUAGCGGUGAAAUGCAUAGAUAUCACAUAGAACACCGAUCGCGAAGGCAGGUGGCCAACCAUGUACUGACGCUGAUGGACGAAAGCGUGGGUAGCGAACGGGAUUAGAUACCCCGGUAGUCCACGCCGUAAACGAUGGAUACUAGCUGUGGGGACUUCGGUCUCCGUGGCCAAGCGAAAGUGAUAAGUAUCCCACCUGGGGAGUACGUUCGCAAGAAUGAAACUCAAAGGAAUUGACGGGGGCCCGCACAAGCGGUGGAGCAUGUGGUUUAAUUCGAUGAUACGCGAGGAACCUUACCAGGGCUUAAAUGCAGGCUGCAUGGGGUAGAGAUACCCCUUUCUUCGGACCGCCUGCAAGGUGCUGCAUGGUUGUCGUCAGCUCGUGCCGUGAGGUGUCAGGUUAAGUCCUAUAACGAGCGCAACCCCUACCGUUAGUUGCCAGCAUGUCAAGAUGGGGACUCUAACGGGACUGCCGGUGCAAACCGUGAGGAAGGUGGGGACGACGUCAAAUCAUCACGGCCCUUACGUCCUGGGCUACACACGUGCUACAAUGGCCGGUACAGAGGGAAGCCACCCCGCAAGGGGGCGCGGAUCUACAA
RNAcentral lists this ribosomal RNA (1216 nucleotides) under Allomuricauda sp. RNAcentral's name for it is "bacterial SSU rRNA". It matches the Rfam family "Bacterial small subunit ribosomal RNA", at positions 52 to 1278 of the family's 1533-position model. Lineage: Bacteria; Pseudomonadati; Bacteroidota; Flavobacteriia; Flavobacteriales; Flavobacteriaceae. The record is from RNAcentral.